UACGGAGGGUGCAAGCGUUGUCCGGAUUUAUGGGGUUUAAAGGGUGCGUAGGCGGCCCGUUAAGUCAGCGGUGAAAUCCCGGGGCUCAACCCCGGAACUGCCGUUGAUACUGGCGGGCUUGAGGUCGGUCGAGGCGGGCGGAACUGGUGGUGUAGCGGUGAAAUGCAUAGAUACCACCAAGAACCCCGAUUGCGAAGCCAGCUCGCUGGGCUGAAACUGCCGCUGAGGCACGAAAGCGUGGGGAGCGAACAGG
Molecule: unclassified non-coding RNA, 253 nt
Filed under: uncultured Hymenobacteraceae bacterium
Lineage: Bacteria; Pseudomonadati; Bacteroidota; Cytophagia; Cytophagales; Hymenobacteraceae
Description: contains 16S-23S intergenic spacer region
Rfam family: Bacterial small subunit ribosomal RNA
Source: RNAcentral